This 493-nucleotide ribosomal RNA is filed under the name uncultured bacterium. Its description in RNAcentral is "partial 16S ribosomal RNA". It matches the Rfam family "Bacterial small subunit ribosomal RNA", at positions 28 to 523 of the family's 1533-position model. The record is from RNAcentral.
GACGAACGCUGGCGGCGUGUUUAACACAUGCAAGUCGAACGCUGAAGCCCUUUCGGGGGUGGAUGAGUGGCGAACGGGUGAGUAACACAUGGGUAAUCUGCCCUGUACUUCGGGAUAAGCCCUGGAAACGGGGUCUAAUACCGGAUAGGACCUGUCCUCGCAUGGGGGUGGGUGGAAAGUUCCGGCGGUAUGGGAUGAGCCCGCGGCCUAUCAGCUUGUUGGUGGGGUGAUGGCCUACCAAGGCGACGACGGGUAGCCGGCCUGAGAGGGUGACCGGUCACACUGGGACUGAGACACGGCCCAGACUCCUACGGGAGGCAGCAGUGGGGAAUCUUGCGCAAUGGGCGAAAGCCUGACGCAGCAACGCCGCGUGGGGGAUGACGGCCUUCGGGUUGUAAACCUCUUUCGGCAUCGACGAAGGCAUCUCUGUGUGGGGUGUUGACGGUAGGUGUAGAAGAAGCACCGGCUAACUACGUGCCAGCCGCCGCUGUAA